Alligator sinensis (Chinese alligator) is the source of this 704-nucleotide non-coding RNA. NCBI's taxonomy places the organism in Eukaryota, Metazoa, Chordata, Crocodylia, Alligatoridae. The record is from the annotation of a RefSeq genome assembly.
CUGGUGUCUGGGCAGCGUUGAGUCCAACCCUCAGGAGAGCUCCCUCCAGACUGAAGAACAUGACCCACUGGCUAUGUUUUACUCUUGCUCUUGUAGCCGUCAGAGGUGUCCUCUCUGAGAUCAAGACAGUAGAGUAUGGAGGAGCCAUAAGGAAACCUGGAGACUCUCUGCGCCUCUCCUGCAAAGCCUCUGGGUUCACCUUCAGUGACACCUGGAUGGCCUGGGCCCGGCAGCCCCCUGGAAAGGGGCUGCAGUGGGUUGGGGAAAUCAUUGGGAACUCAAAGACCAUCAACUAUGCACCAGCAGUGAAAGGGAAAUUCACCAUCUCCAGAGACAAUACCCAGAACCUGCUGUUCCUGCAGAUGGACAGCCUGAGCCCAGCAGACACAGCCCGGUAUUACUGUGCAAGGUACACAGCGAGAGAAAGUCCCUCUGAGGCCAGGCAAAAACUUGCCAGUGUCAUUUCCCAGCCUGGUCCAAGAGGUGCCCUCUCCCAGGUGGUUCUGAUGCAGUCAGAGGCAGCUGUAAAGAAGCCUGGAGAGUCCCACAUGCUACAGUGUGCCACCAGUGGGUUAACACUCAGUAGCUACUGGAUGAACUGGGUCCAACAGGACAACUCCCAGAGCCUGCUACACCUUCAGAUGAGCAACCUGAAACCUGAGGACAUGACCCAGUAUGACUGUACCAGAUACACAGUGAUCUGA